AAAGCGUGCGCAGGCGGUUUUGUAAGUCUGACGUGAAAUCCCCGGGCUCAACCUGGGAAUUGCGUUGGAGACUGCAAGGCUAGAAUCUGGCAGAGGGGGGUAGAAUUCCACGUGUAGCAGUGAAAUGCGUAGAGAUGUGGAGGAACACCGAUGGCGAAGGCAGCCCCCUGGGUCAAGAUUGACGCUCAUGCACGAAAGCGUGGGGAGCAAACAGGAUUAGAUACCCGAGU
This 230-nucleotide ribosomal RNA is filed under the name uncultured bacterium. RNAcentral describes it as "partial 16S ribosomal RNA". It matches the Rfam family "Bacterial small subunit ribosomal RNA", at positions 562 to 791 of the family's 1533-position model. The record is from RNAcentral.